GACCCUUAGGAGCUUGUCAUGUGGUUAAAUCAAGAUUCACUUGCACGUUCACUCAUAUAUGCUACUUCUACUCCAGAAGUACCAUCCACAUAUAUCCACCCAUUCCAUCUCCAGAAUCACCUAAAAAUAUUAUACUCCUAAUCCGGGAGAGAAUAACCAAAAAUAUUUCUAUUUUCCCCUUGUGAAAUAAAUGCUCAAGUUAUCUUGUUACUACCACUUGCUAUAUUAUCUCAAGUGAUGAGUGCUCUAAAAAAAAUAUACGAGGAAAUAAAAAGGAGCAAGUGCUCGGAACCUCGAAAGAAAAGAAUAAGUGAGACGAGAGGUAAAAAUGGACAAGUGUCCGACAAUAGAAUUAGGGGUGCAAGAUACCCACCUGAGAGAAAAGAAAAGAAAAAGAAGAGCAUCUCAUUCUCCUCAUAAAAUUUCAAAAAGCAAGGAAGGUAUGUAUCCCCUCAAAAGAGCAAAGUAGAAUUAGACUUUCACCAUUGUUAUCACCAUCAUCACCAUACACCAUUCAUUCGCCACACAUGCACAUCUUGAUUUGACUUAUUGAUUUGUUUCUUUGGAUCCAUGGUUUGACUAUGCAAUAAAUGUCUUGUAAGUAUGUAUAUUUUAUCUCCCACCUAUGAGCUCCAGAUAUUAAAGCCUUAUUAGAGUAGGGUGAGAGAGAAGGCAAUGUCACUAUGCCUCAUACCACAAAUACCACAUAUCUUGAGAGAAGGCAUAUACCAUCACUGCCUUGGUAAGGAUCCAGAAAUACCACAAAAGAGAGACCUGAGAGAAUCAUACAAGGAAUUUCUGAGUUUUAUUUGAAAAUCUGCCAAAACCCCAGAGCUAUAGCUGAUCAAGAAUAAGAGACAUGACACUUGGCUAGACUGUUCUAUCUUUUAACCACUCAAGACAGAAGUGACAGUUACAAGUCCCAUGGUGUAGGUAAAGUAAGUAAGUUUUAAGUCUUGACAGUUUACUCUAACUCAGAGAUGAGAUCUUAUUUAAAAGCAUGUGUACCGUCAAAUUUUUAAAAUAUAAUGCAACAACUUAUGAUCCAUAGCUGAGUCUAUCCUUGCUC
RNAcentral lists this long non-coding RNA (1069 nucleotides) under Sorghum bicolor (sorghum). Its description in RNAcentral is "long non-coding RNA (SBIC_LNC014361)". The record is from RNAcentral. Lineage: Eukaryota; Viridiplantae; Streptophyta; Magnoliopsida; Poales; Poaceae.